UAGUGUCCUUUGUUUUCUUGCUUUUCCCUUAUAGGGUGCCAAAGCUCAGCCUCCUGGAUGUAUAUAAAGAGGGGUUCAGAAAGAGGAGUAACGACAGGAACACAGCACCGACAGAGACCAACCUCAUAAAAUCUAUCAAAGGGGAGAGGAAGACAAAACUGCUUUCAAGAUGGGCGACACCCUUAUGGCAGAGUUUGGGUCCGCUGCUACCUUCCUGAGAAAGUCCGAUAGGGAGCGUCUGGAGGCCCAGACUCGCCCCUUUGAUAUAAAGAGGCAAUGUUUUGUACCGGACCCUGAGGUGGAAUAUGUGAAAGCCAAAGUCACCAGCAGAGAUGGCGACAAAGUCACCGUUGAAACUGAGUUUGGAA
Molecule: long non-coding RNA, 368 nt
Organism: Morone saxatilis (striped sea-bass)
Lineage: Eukaryota; Metazoa; Chordata; Actinopteri; Moronidae
Exons: 3
Source: RefSeq, a predicted model, not a curated record